UCGAGCGGUAAGGCCCUUUCGGGGGUACACGAGCGGCGAACGGGUGAGUAACACGUGAGCAAUCUGCCCUUGACUUUGGAAUAACCAUUGGAAACGAUGGCUAAUGCCGAAUAUGACCCCCUUUCGCAUGUUGGGGGGUGGAAAGCUCCGGCGGUCAAGGAUGAGCUCGCGGCCUAUCAGCUUGUUGGUGAGGUAAUGGCUCACCAAGGCAUUGACGGGUAGCCGGCCUGAGAGGGUGACCGGCCACACUGGGACUGAGACACGGCCCAGACUCCUACGGGAGGCAGCAGUGGGGAAUAUUGGACAAUGGGCGAAAGCCUGAUCCAGCAACGCCGCGUGAGGGAUGACGGCCUUCGGGUUGUAAACCUCUUUCAGCAGGGACGAAGCGAGAGUGACGGUACCUGCAGAAGAAGGACCGGCCAACUAC
This 427-nucleotide ribosomal RNA is filed under the name Aeromicrobium sp. SA_23. Its description in RNAcentral is "bacterial SSU rRNA". It matches the Rfam family "Bacterial small subunit ribosomal RNA", at positions 62 to 504 of the family's 1533-position model. Lineage: Bacteria; Bacillati; Actinomycetota; Actinomycetes; Propionibacteriales; Nocardioidaceae. The record is from RNAcentral.